AAUUUUAAAAGAGAUCCCGGGAAGAAUAUUGAGAAAACGGAGGGAGUACUCUAGCCUUACUACCUUUUUGAGAGAUGUGAAGAUUACAUACAGGUGGGAACUCCCAGAGGGGUUAACCUUUUGGUGGAAAAAGAAGAGAGUUAGAAUUUUGACACCGGAGCAGGCAAAAAAAUUUCUGAAACAAGUCAAAACACAAUACCCGACAAAACAAGGAGAAGAUAGAGACACUGAACAAAGAAACCAACUGGAUGGAGAAGAAGAAGACGGAGAGCUGUUGAAUUUGCAAGACCCCCUAAUUCUGGACUUAGAAUACGACGAGCAAGAGUUGCUACAGGAGGAAAUUAGAAUCGGGAGAGAAGAAAGAGAAAGGGAAGAAAAGUACUAAAUAAAACACGUAAAACAUUUAACUCGUAUUAAAUAUAAUUUUUCUUAUCUUGAAUUUGAAAUUCGACACAGAAAAACUUAUUUAUUUUUAAAUUUUACCUCAUUUCAAUAAAAAUAUAUUAAAAUUUAAUAAAUACUGACGAGGUGGUUUUCUUUCCUAUUGCUAUCAUAUUUGAGAGAUAGAAUUUAAAAAUUAUGGCGAACAAUUUAAAAUUCUUAUCGUGGAACGUUCAGGGCUUGAAUACACCGCAAAAAAGGAAAAAGAUCUUCCAUUAUUUGCAAAAACUAAAAUUAGAUAUAAUCUGUCUACAAGAGACAAGAAUAAAAGAAAAAGAUAAAAAACAUUAAGAUGCAAUAGAUUAGGACAACUGUACUCAGCACAUUCUAAAUAUAAGAAAAAAGGAGUGGCAAUAUAUGUAGAUGUAAAAUAUGAUGCAAAAGAAAUUUAUAGUGAUAAGGAGGGAAAUUAUGAAAUAAUUGAGUUGAGGUACAGAGAAGAGACUGAGAAGAAAUUGAUUAUAGUAGGAGUAUAUGGUCCUUUAGAAAAUAAAAAUAAAUUUUAUAGCAAACUAAAACAAAAAUUAGUUCAGCUGGAAAAUGAUUCAGUAAUCCUACUUGGAGAUUGGAAUGGUGUUAUAGACCCAAAAUUAGACAGAUUUUCGGAAAAAAACAUGAGGAGGAAUCAAGGUAAGCUCCCAAAUGAAUUUUUCAAAUUAACACAAUUAUUGGAGGUGCAGGAUGUAUGGAGAACAAAAUAUGGGAAGGCUAAAGAUUACACCUUUUAUUCUAACCCGCAUAAGACAUGGUCCAGAAUAGAUAUGAUAUGGUUAUCUGUCCAUUUAAACCCAAAGAUUCAAAAUGUUAAGAUACUUCCUAGAGUAUUAUCGGAUCAUAACCCAGUGCAAUUAAAUUUAAAUAUGUUGAGAAAUAAGGAAUAUAGUUGGAAAUUAAAUUCAAAAUUGUUAGAAGAUAAGGAGAUUACUAAACAAUUAAAUGUUGAAAUUAAAAGAUAUUUUGAAGAAAAUUCAGAUAAGGAGACUGCCCCCUUUAUAGUCUGGGAUGCACAUAAGGCGGCUAUAAGGGGCUGGUUAAUAAAAAAAAGCCUCUGAGGUAAAAAAGAAAAAAGAAGAAAAAUUGAAGUAUUUGAAUUUGCAACUACAAAACAAAGAAAAUGAAUUGAAAAAAUAUCCAAAUGAUGUAAACACCAGGAAAGAAGUUAAAUAUUUGCAGAAACAAAUAUCGGUGGUUUUGGUGGAAGAGAUGGAAAAGAAAUUGAAAUUUUUAAAACAAAAAUAUUUUGAAACAGCAAAUAAACUGGGUAAAUUAUUGGCAUAUCAAUUAAAAAAAGAAAAAGCUAAAAGAACCAUCUCAAUGAUUAAAGAGGGAGAUAAGAUAAUUACAAGUCAAAAUAAAUUAAAGAAAAAAGUAUUAGAGUAUUUUGUGGAACUAUUUAAAUACCCAAAAGUAGACCUGUCAAAGAUUAAAAACUAUUUGGAUUCGCAAAAAAUUGUAAAGUUUACAGAAAAACAGAAAGAAAUUUUGAAUAACCCGAUUACUUUAAACGAAUUGGUUGAUGCAAUAAAAAAAUGUAAGUUGGGGAAAACCCCAGGUCCAGACGGUUUCACGAAUGAAUACUAUAAAAAAAUGUUACGAGUAUCUCAAAGAACCGUUAGUACACAUAUUCAAUGAAAUUGUGAGGGGUGGGAUACCACAAACAUGGACUCAAACAGAUAUAAGCUUGAUCCCAAAAGAAGGAAAAGAUGGAACAUUGCUUAAAAAUUAUAGGCUGAUUGCAUUAUUGAAUACAGAUUACAAACUAUUUGUAACAAUUUUGGCAGAAAGAUUAAAAAGUGUUCUAACUAAUUGGAUUCAAAAAGAUCAAUCCGGUUUCCUACCAAACAGAAUGAUUAAAAAUAACAUAAGAAAUUUAAUUAAUUUAAUUGAGAUUCAUGAAAAAAAUAUAGAUAAGAAAUUGGCUCUUAUAUUUAUUGAUGCGGAAAAGCGUUUGAUAAUGUAUAUUGGCAAUUUCUGAUUGAAUUACUGAAAAAAAUGGAUGUGGGCUUGGUAUUUCAAAACUGGAUUGAAGCAAUUUAUGAAAGACAAGAAGCUAGAAUUUGGGUAAAUGGUGAAAGAACGAAUAGCUGUACGGUAAACAGAGGAGUGAGACAAGGAUGCCCACUCUCUCCGCUCCUCUUUAUUGUAGUAUUGGAAGUGUUACUUAAUAGUAUUAGAGAAAAUCAAUUGAUACAAGGCUUUAAGUUGAAAAAAGAGGAGUAUAAGGUAAGAGCUUAUGCUGACGAUUUAGUGCUAACGAUUGCAAACCCAGUAGAAAGUAAGGAAUUAAUAUUGGAAACAUUCGAAAAGUUUGGUAGGGUUGCCGGAUACAAAAUAAAGAAAGAAAAAACAGCAAUAUUGAUGAUGAAUAUGACAAAAGAAGAAAGGAAUAAUGUAAUUGAGAAGACAGGUUUUCAAGAUAAAAAAAAUGGUGAAAUAUUUGGGUAUCAAUAUUACUAUAAAAAAUAAAGAUCUUUUUGAAAACAAUUAUGGCAGAAUAUGGAAAAAUAUUUUAAAAGAUUUGACAAAUUGGAAAAACCUAAAAAUUUCAUGGAUGGGAAAAAUAGCUAUUAUAAAGAUGGUAAUUCUUCCAAAAAUGAUUUUCUUCUUUCAAGGUCUCCCUAUAAUAGUUAGUGAAAUGCCAUUUAUCAGUGGGAAAGGGACUUAUCUAAAUUUAUAUGGAAUGGAAAAAAGCCCAGAAUAAAAAUGAAAAUAUUAUAUGAUUCGGUGGAUAAAGGGGGAUUGGCAUUACCCAAUUUCAAAUGGUAUUACCAAGCUUGUGCUCUCGAUUGGAUGUUAGAUUGGAAAAUAGAAAAAAUUUGAAUUUGGAAAAAAUAGAUUUAAAAUUUGGCCUGCAUGGAUAUUUAGUAUAUGAUAAACAAAAGGUAGAUAGUAAUUUUAAUGAUCACAUUAUCAGAAAAUCGUUGUUUAAGGUCUGGUUAAAAUAUAGAAAAAAAUGGUGCCCUAGAAUUCCUCUGUGGACAUCAUCAAAUGAAGCUAUUUUUGGUAGGGAACAAUAUAAAAGGGAGGGCUGGGUGAUAUACAAUGAGAUUACAAAACAGACUGAAGAUAAAAGGGUAAUGAAAUCACAAAAGGAUUUGUAUUUGGAGGGUAUACACAGUAAUUGGUUCUCUUAUAGACAAAUUCGAGAGCAUUUUAUACUUGAUUCGAGGGAAGGAGGAAUUGGGGAAGGAGAUUUAAAAUUUGAAAGGAUAAUUAAAAAUCCACAGAAACAAAUUUCAAAUUUAUAUAGAUUAAUAUUAGAGUAUGAAUUGGAAUCAGAAACGGUAAAAGAAUUCAUGAUAAAGUGGGCCAAAGAUAUAAAUGAAACAAUACAAUUAGAUCAUUGGGAGAAACUUUGGAAGGGAAAAAUCAAACAAAUUAUUUGUGUGGACCUAAAAGAAAAUAUAUACAAGUCCAUGUUUAGAUGGUACCUUACCCCACAUAGAUUAUCUAAAAUGUUUAAAAAUAAUAGAAAUCUCUGUUGGAAUUGUAGUAAAGAGGUAGGAAGUUACCUACAUAUGUGGUGGAAUUGCCCCAUUGUAAGGAAAUUUUGGAAAGAUAUACAUAUAGAGAUGAGAAAAAUCUUUGGAUUAAAGGGAGGACCGACUGUUAAGUUCUAUCUCUUAAAUAUGAUGGAAGACAUAGAAUAUGGAAAAAAAAUUGAAAAAAUUAUAUUACUGGCGCUAGUUGCAGCCAGGAAGACUCUCGCCCAGAAUUGGAAAAAAGAUUUCUGCCCAACAAUCGAGGAUUGGAGAUGGAAGAUGCUGGAUAUUUAUGAGAUGGAGAAAUUGACACACCUGGUAAAAAAGAGACCGUUGGAAGACUUCUAUGAAGAGUGGAAGGUUUGGAAAACAUAUCUAGCUGUAGACAUGAUAGGUUAUAAGCCACCUAUAUCUCUUUCUCAUUGGAACACGAGUUUCCCAAACAUUAAUAUUCAAAACAAAUGUGAAUGCUGUAAUGCCAGUGUAUACUGAUGAAAGGUUUCAAACCCCUUGGAAAAACUGAAAAAGCAUUUCAAAUGAAAGUUUUACAAGAACAGGCAUCCCGGGCCCAAAUCCUAGAUAAAGCCACAGAGUACAUCCAGUACAUGCGCCGGAAAAACCACACACACCAGCAGGACAUUGAUGAUCUAAAGCGCCAGAAUGCACUUCUGGAGCAGCAAG
RNA transcript from Sceloporus undulatus (fence lizard), 4604 nucleotides. It is a transcript of the gene named MYC associated factor X, with no coding region annotated. The transcript has 3 exons. The record is from RefSeq and is a predicted model, not a curated record. Lineage: Eukaryota; Metazoa; Chordata; Lepidosauria; Squamata; Phrynosomatidae.